This is a long non-coding RNA of Daphnia pulex (common water flea), 661 nucleotides long. RefSeq lists it as uncharacterized. The transcript is spliced from 4 exons. The record is from RefSeq and is a predicted model, not a curated record. NCBI's taxonomy places the organism in Eukaryota, Metazoa, Arthropoda, Branchiopoda, Diplostraca, Daphniidae.
AUUCCACAAGAAAUAAAAUUACAAAAUGUGGUUGUCGUGUAAACUCAUCUGGUCCUGUCUAUUUUUAGAAUCGCUUAAUGGACAAGCUCCAUGCUGUUUUUCCACAAUAAAAGCAUAGGAGCUUAAAAUAGAGUUAAACCUGAUUUAAAUUCAGGGCCAGAGCCAGCCAUCAUAACCACAAGAAAUUCAAGUUUUGCUUGUGCCGGUAUUGACCAGUCACCAGCAAAAAUCCCUCAUCGCUUGGAUAAACAUCAUCCCGUUUUGGUUUGGAGAAACUUCUGUUGGUGGAGCUGUUUCUCAAAAUAUUCUCUGUCCUCGUGUACUCCCAUGUGAGGUGUGGCUGUAUUCACGAGGACACACUUUUUCCCUCCUGGUGGAUUCAACUCUCUUCAGCAGAUGGAUCAAGCACUUGUUGAUGGAUGCCUGGCUGUAUUUCCCAGGCAUAAAGAUUUGAUGCCAGAGCCAGCCAUCAUGUCCACAGGAAAUUCAAGUUGUGCUUGUGCUGGUAUAUUGACCUGUCACCAGCAACAAGCCCUCAUCAUCGCUUGGGUAUGAUUUUCGUAACUUUUAUUACCUGUGACCUGCUAAACAUUUCUAUUGAUUCAUUACUUCACGAAUGCAAUGUGUCAAAUGGAAACCUUUAAUUCUUCUCUUUAUUAGA